GACGAACGCUGGCGGCGUGCUUAACACAUGCAAGUCGAACGGUGAAGGGGUCUGCUUUUGUGGGCCCUGGAUGAGUGGCGAACGGGUGAGUAACACGUGAGUAACCUGCCCCCUUCUUCUGGAUAACCGCAUGAAAGUGUGGCUAAUACGGGAUAUUCUGGGUCUGUCGCAUGAUGGGUCUGGGAAAGAUUGCGCCUUUGGGUGUUUUUGGUGGGGGAUGGGCUCGCGGCCUAUCAGCUUGUUGGUGGGGUGAUGGCCUACCAAGGCGGUGACGGGUAGCCGGCGUGAGAGGGUGGACGGUCACACUGGGACUGGGACACGGCCCAGACUCCUACGGGAGGAAGCAGUGGGGAAUAUUGCACAAUGGGCGCAAGCCUGAUGCAGCGACGCCGCGUGAGGGAUGGAGGCCUUCGGGUUGUAAACCUCUUUCGCCAGUGAAGCAGGCCUGCUCCUUGUGGGUGGGUUGACGGUAGCUGGAUAAGAAGCGCCGGCUAACUACGUG
RNAcentral lists this ribosomal RNA (502 nucleotides) under uncultured bacterium. RNAcentral's name for it is "partial 16S ribosomal RNA". It matches the Rfam family "Bacterial small subunit ribosomal RNA", at positions 28 to 507 of the family's 1533-position model. The record is from RNAcentral.